Molecule: long non-coding RNA, 1943 nt
Filed under: Gallus gallus (chicken)
Lineage: Eukaryota; Metazoa; Chordata; Aves; Galliformes; Phasianidae
Description: lncRNA (ENSGALG00010011083.1)
Source: RNAcentral
AAGGCUCAGUUCUCCAGGUGCAUACUGCCAUUGCUGGUUUUGAAAGCUGCCCACCAUGAUGUGCAAGUGGUUCUUCUCUGCUGGGAGGACAACAAAGUGGAUGCUUCCAAGUCUUCUGACAAGACUUGGAGGAUGCUAAGAGAAUUGUGAUGGUGCUGCCCAAGGCUUUUGCUGAAGUUGUAAUGCAGCUCUGCAUCAUGGAAAAUAUAGAUUUAGAGACUAAACAAAUUCCUGGCACGCAUUUUGGAGCAGUGUUUCUGGAUUGGGUGAUGCUGUGCACAGAAGUAUCUGAUGGCUUGAAGGUGGCUCAAUAAGAACUUGUUAUAGGUGGAGCCAUUCACCAGUUUCUGUACUCAUAGAGGAAAGGAGCCAUCAUAUGCCGUAAUGCAAAAAUAUCUCACUCAGUAAAAAGAUGGAGACUUUUUUUUUUAAUUUAACUUCAGAUUUGGGAGUACAAUGUCAUCUGUUUUCUUUGGUUUGCCUCGGGCCUUUCGGGAUAUAAAUAAUAAUUUCGAAUGGGAUUUAUUUCAUGUAACUUCAGACACCUGGAAAAAACAUUUGGUGUAGCUAUCCACCCAGUUUACCUUUAAAAUCAAGGAAGAUAAAUUUAUCACCUCUGUCUUAGACACACAUCUUAAGAUGGUAUCUUUUUUUUUCUCCCACAUAUUGUAAGCUGUAGGCUAUUCUCUGAAUUAAUUUCUGCAUCAAAUCUAACAACUAGGUUUACUUGUGGCGGGUAUGUUAGAAAGAUACUGUAGCGUUUCUGGUUUUGUGCUGAGAAAUCCAGUAGUCUUUAGAAAAGUUAAAUUAGUUAAAUAUUUCUUUUAAAGUCACCGUAUGUCCAGUCUUCAUCUGGGGUGCUGGUAGUCACAUGAUGUGGCAUGGUGGGCUGAUAAGUGCCCAUAGUUUUUUUUUUUUUUUUUCUACCACUAACACUGCCUGGUCUCAGCAGAUUUAUGCCUGUUUUCCCAGAAAAUACCCCUUCAGUCAACUUUCAAAACUUCCCUUUCUCCAAUCCCAUUACUUUCAGAUUUGAUGAAAUAGUAAUUACUAACUUUUUUUUUUUAUUUUGAAUUGAUAUUUUAGAGUCAAGACCUCACUCCAGCAAGGCUUCUCUAAACCUGUUUAAUGAGAAUACCCCAUUCACAGCUGCAUUUUAAGGCACAGACAGUUUUUAAUCCAUUUAAUGUGUGCUGGGCUGGUUUUUCUUUACUGUGAUUUCUUAAUUGAGACAUCGUGUGUAAGGAAGUCAGAUGCCUCAGUUUAGUGGAUUACACAAACACUGAAUUACCUUUAUCACCGAAGCUCAUAACCUCAUUAAGAAGUCCACGUUUCUGUGAUAUGUUUAGUUUCCCCCAUAUUUAUUAAUUGUGCUACAACAGUAUGAAAUUGUGUCCUGUGUUAUAUGUUGCUUUACCUUUUCAUAAGUGUAGGUCAGACUGAAGGGUACACUCAGCCCUUCCUUCUACUGCUAAUAUUGAGUACUUCUUACUGUUAACCUUUUCUGAGAUAAAUGUGGAGUCUGAAAUAACUUUAUAAACAGCUAUUUUGGUAAUUUGAGUCUUCUUGUUGAGUCUUUGGACCCCUGGAUUGUCUUCCCUCUGGGUGCAGAUACUGUUCCCCAUCAUGUAUCAAAAUGGUAAUUGUAUGAUAGCAAGUAGAAGGAAAUAUUAGCAAAUCAAAUGUCAUUGGUGCUCCUUAAAUGUUUUGAUUAAGUUUAUUCUUAAGUUAUCUGUUCAAUCAUUUUUCUCAGGUUCUCCCUCUUCAGAGUAGUCGGCUUCUUGUCUCCUUUACAACAUGGUCCCCUUGUCUGCUCCCUCACUUCUUGUUGUGAUGCCAAUGCUCAGACAUGACUUAGUUCUCAAAAAUUGUCAAACGUUUUUUUUUUUUUCUUAAAAAAAAAAAUCAACAAAAAAGCAUAUUAAAAGUCGUCUUCAUUUGUG